Sorghum bicolor (sorghum) is the source of this 671-nucleotide long non-coding RNA. RefSeq lists it as uncharacterized. Lineage: Eukaryota; Viridiplantae; Streptophyta; Magnoliopsida; Poales; Poaceae. The record is from RefSeq and is a predicted model, not a curated record. The transcript is spliced from 3 exons.
CAGCCACUGGAUUGCAUUUAUCAUCUAUCCUCAAGACGGCAGGGCCUACAUAUUUGAUUCAUUGUGGAAUUCAAACAAAGCAAUGUGCAAGAACUUUGAAAGCUACUUGAGAGACGCUUAUAAGGAGUAUGUGAAAGAUCAAGAGCAAUAUGGCAAAACAUCUGAGAAGUUCAAGGCAAAGCAUGGGAAUAAACUGAAAGUCAGGCAUGAGUUCACAUGCGCCAAAUAGCUGAAAGAAACACUUCUAUGUGGGUACUACGUCUGCGAGUACCUUAGGGCGUGCAAGAAAUACAGCCACUGCUAGCGGCAGCUCAAGAAAGGAAUGGACUGGUGGAGAAGGGAACAGGUAAACCAACCUACACUGCUUCAACCAAACAGUAGCAGACAUCUGCAAAUUUAUCACGGACUAAUGCGUUAAUGAAGGGCGAAUCUUCUUCAACACGAACAGGCUGGGCAGCUUCUCGAGUACAAGAAGAUUAGAAACUGCAGCACCUUGCUACGUAUCCAGAUUUGUUUGGAUUAGCAAAUUGAGGUACCUAGCGGACUUGUUACUAAGUUUCAUCAAGACAAACGAGUUAAUACUUUAACGAUUUUGUCGGUUUCAUAUAUGUACAGAACUAGACAAAAUGAAUGUAUGAAUGUGUUAUGUCUUAUAUAUGUGUCUGUAUGAA